AUGGUUUGUUCAUGCACCAGGU
This 22-nucleotide microRNA is filed under the name Petromyzon marinus (sea lamprey). RNAcentral's name for it is "pma-miR-218a-3p". Its record names the gene pma-miR-218a-3p. Lineage: Eukaryota; Metazoa; Chordata; Hyperoartia; Petromyzontiformes; Petromyzontidae. The record is from miRBase by way of RNAcentral.